This 2869-nucleotide long non-coding RNA is filed under the name Sparus aurata (gilthead seabream). Its description in RNAcentral is "lncRNA (ENSSAUG00010024948.1)". Lineage: Eukaryota; Metazoa; Chordata; Actinopteri; Spariformes; Sparidae. The record is from RNAcentral.
AUGCUCACACAAACAAGUUCAGGCGCACUUUUGUUCAUGAUUGUGUCUUUGGUUUUUGUAAGGGUUUAUAAAUGUAUUUGUUCUUGCUGUUUGAAGCGCCGUGUCUAUCUCCCAGUGUCUCAACACACGAUGGUUUAUUUUUCUUCAGAUCCGGAAUCUGACCCUGGCUUUCCAGGCUGCCGAGAGCAUUGGCAUCAAACCGUCCCUGGACAUCGAGGAGCUGAUGAAGACGGACAGGCCUGACUGGCAGAGCGUCAUGCUGUACGUCUCUCAGAUAUAUAAGUACUUUGAGACCUGACGGGCGGUGUGAAGAGGAUCGGAGGCGCUUGCAGCACUUCUUCUGUCAGCACUACAUUCACCUUCCAUACAGACAGGACGCUGCCCCAACCUCGACGCUUCUCCUGCCUGUGACUCAAAAACCAAAUUUUACAAAGACUGCCAUCGGGAGAGACAUCACCAGUCUGAACAUGUGCCAAAACACAACUUACAUGAGACUCAAUCAUACGAAGCUCAAUCUAUGCAUGGUUAAAGUGGAACCUUUCUGUCUUCUGAGUGUGCAGCGUGAUCGUCUCUUUCCACUGAGUGAACCUUUGGUACAUGUGGCUUCAGAGCAUCUCUCCUCACACUGAGCAGCUUAUUGUGAACGAGCCGGAGUAGUGCUUUGCAGAGCAAGAAAGUAUUUUGACAGGUUUGAACUGAAGCCCUUUAUAUUUCCCACCUUUAACUGUGUGUGUCCAUAUAGACAUAAACAAGACUAGCUGCCAUCUGUGAUGCCACACUAAAAAACAAUAUUUAACACUAAAAGAGUUGCUGAAUAGUUUUGUAGAAAUUAUUUUUUAAUGAAGAGAACAGAUUGAUGUCUAUGUUCAUCGUUUUACAGCAUUUAGGAUUUGGCUUGUAUCACACCAUCACCAUCUUUCCUGUGCCCUGCUGUGCUGUUUCUCCACGUCUUCCAUCAAAACGCUCCUCAGCAGCGCAGAGAUCGAAAAGUGGCCUAAGGUAUGUCAGUUGCUGAUCAGAGGCAUAUACCGAUCCCUGGACUGGUAUACCGAUCCUUGGACUGGUAUGCCGCUGCGAUGCCGCUGGUAUCCCACAGACACAUGCCGUUAUGUGCCGUUUGAGAAUGUCAUGCCAUUGAAAGACUGUUGGAUGGGUAUCACUAUCUGAUGAAUAUGCAAAUAUAAUGCCACUGGGAUGGUUUUACAACAAAUACUGCUGUAAACGUAUACAUUUUUUAGUCUUUUUUGACUGAACUUUGCUAACUUAACACGUUUCCGUAAAUAAAGGAAUGUAUGCAUUUACGUGGUUGGGAUGUAUGCAUGUAGACAGUAAUUACACUUAGGAUUCUUACAAUAUGUUAGUAAAGUAAUAUGUCUAAAUUUCUGCCUAUAAACUACUCAAAGCUAAUGAAAGAGCUAGCCUUAGCUAACAUGGCUAAUGUUAGCCCAGCCACGGCAGCCAGUCUGUCUAAUCGAUAACAGAAAUCUCGAGCCAACCAACCAAACAAUAGUUACUGACAGAAUUUCUUUCAUAGCAGAACAUACAUUACUUCAUGUACUUUAAUUCGACUGGAAUAAGCUGCUAAUAAAGAAAACUAUGGCCGGUCUUGACAUGUCUUGAUCAAGCCAACACUGCAUGCCUAAUACCAACACACCACUCCUCUGAUACACUGAUCCAGCGUAUAAACCUUUGGGCAUCGAUAUACCUACUGUUCCAUAGUAAAAAGCCUUCCAACAUCGGCAUAACAGUCUCAAGCGGCAUAUACAGUCAUGUGAUGGUGGAAUACCAGUGGAAUUACAUCGGCAUACCACUCCAAGGGUCAGCAUACCACUUGCAGGGAUCGGUAUACCACUCCAAGUAUUGGUAUACCAGUUAAGGGAUCAGUAUAUGCUGCUAAGCAGCAAUUGACAUACCUUUGGCCAUUUUUCAAUCUCGGCGUGAAGAACUAUGGUACUGCAGCUGCUUUGCAAAAUUUACAUUUAUAUUUGGCAUGCCAUGUUAAAUAACGGAGGAGAGGACGACUCUUACAUGUGAGAGACGAGGCACAACACUUUCUCUGUGGUAUGAUUUAGACAAGCCUCCAUUUGCAGACGUUUUGAAAGAUUAAAAAGUGUUAUUUAUUUAUUUACAUGCAUCCUUGAAAAGAAGUCAGAAUGUGGACAGAAAUGUAUGCAGUUUUCUAUUCUACGGAUGUCAGAGUCGGACUGUUGGAGUGAAAUCAAUAAAGUAUUGUCCAGUUUUAUAUUCAAUAAUUUAGUCUUGUUUCUUCAGGUUUUGACACAGAAAUGCUCUUCUUCUUCUUCUUUUUUCCAGUUAAGCUAUCAUGUGAACCCACCAGCUUCUUGGCAGGUUGCUAUAGUUGAGGUUAAACUGCCUUUCCACUGUGCCCAUUAAAGCUCUGUGCCAGGGUUGUAAAACAUUUGUGUGUGUGUGGGAACAGAGUGGAAACGCAUUUUAGCAGCCGCAGGUACCCAUGGAGAGAUAUCUAAAGACAAUAAAAUGGGUCUGAGGAGAGUUAAAUAAGGCUUGAUUUGGUGAAGGACAUCCUUUAUUGGGUCUGUACGGUAAAUACAGUGAACAUUUAUAACCUGUCUGCUUCAUCAAGAGGAGACUUUAUUGAGCAUCACAAGACAAACAGCCCAUUAAUAACAUGAAAUCAUCUCUGCUUUUAGAAAUCGUAUGUGCCUCUCCUCUCGUUAAAAAUGAUUUUCUCAUCAGCCUUAUUUCCACAUGGACUUCUCCCUCUCACGAGUUUGCGUCAGCUAGGAGCAGAAGGUAAACAAUAUCAAACAAACACCGAAUAAACGUGAGUCAGUGGAGUUUUUUUGUUUCGUUUUUUUGGGGGGGUUGCUUGGUCCUCGUCUGGGUU